CCAACAACAGUCACUGAGCCAGUUCUGAUAAGUUUCUCUGACCGCACCUCAUGCAUUAGCAGCAGGCUGCUCAGCUGUUGGAUCCGUUAUCACAUAAAGGAUCCGUUCAUGCUCUAAAACAAUCUUAAGUUUCCUAAGCUAGUUGUUGAAAUUGGGUCGAGUCAACUUGUCAUUAUCCAACAAUGAACGAAGUGACAAACUAGUGGCCAUUUCUGCAUA
Molecule: long non-coding RNA, 219 nt
Filed under: Phoenix dactylifera (date palm)
Lineage: Eukaryota; Viridiplantae; Streptophyta; Magnoliopsida; Arecales; Arecaceae
Description: long non-coding RNA (PDAC_LNC018056)
Source: RNAcentral